AUACGGAGGGUGCGAGCGUUAAUCGGAAUUACUGGGCGUAAAGGGUGCGUAGGCGGUUUGAUAAGUCGGAUGUGAAAGCCCCGGGCUUAACCUGGGAAUGGCAUUCGAUACUGUCAGGCUAGAGUAUGUCAGAGGUUGGCGGAAUUCCUGGUGUAGCGGUGAAAUGCGUAGAUAUCAGGAGGAACACCAGUGGCGAAGGCGGCUGACUGGGACAAUGCUGACGCUGAGGCACGAAAGCGUGGGGAGCAAACAGGAUUAGAUACCCUAGUAGUCC
RNAcentral lists this ribosomal RNA (274 nucleotides) under uncultured bacterium. RNAcentral's name for it is "partial 16S ribosomal RNA". It matches the Rfam family "Bacterial small subunit ribosomal RNA", at positions 523 to 796 of the family's 1533-position model. The record is from RNAcentral.